This 253-nucleotide ribosomal RNA is filed under the name uncultured bacterium. RNAcentral describes it as "partial 16S ribosomal RNA". It matches the Rfam family "Archaeal small subunit ribosomal RNA", at positions 474 to 727 of the family's 1478-position model. The record is from RNAcentral. RNAcentral also lists the same sequence under 1 other name.
UACCCGCAGCACAAGUGGUGGUCAUUAUUAUUGGGCCUAAAGCGUCCGUAGCUGGCGUGUUAGAUGCCUGGGUAAAUCGAAGCGCUCAACGUUUCGAAUUCCGGGUAGACCGGCACGCUCGAGACCGGGAGAGGUGUAGGGUACUCGGGGGGUAGGGGUAAAAUCCUGUAAUCCUCCGGGGACGACCAGUGGCGAAGGCGCUACACUAGAACGGCUCUGACAGUGAGGGACGAAGCCCUGGGGCGCAAACCGG